RNAcentral lists this ribosomal RNA (898 nucleotides) under Phaeoacremonium inflatipes. Its description in RNAcentral is "LSU rRNA". It matches the Rfam family "Eukaryotic large subunit ribosomal RNA", at positions 37 to 966 of the family's 3401-position model. The record is from RNAcentral. Lineage: Eukaryota; Fungi; Ascomycota; Sordariomycetes; Togniniales; Togniniaceae.
AGCAUAUCAAUAAGCGGAGGAAAAGAAACCAACAGGGAUUGCCCCCAGUAACGGCGAGUGAAGCGGCAACAGCUCAAAUUUGAAAUCUGGCCUAGGCCCGAGUUGUAAUUUGCAGAGGAUGCUUCGGGCGCGGUGCCUUCUGAGUUCCCUGGAACGGGACGCCAUAGAGGGUGAGAGCCCCGUACGGUUGGACACCUAGCCUGUGUGAAGCUCCUUCGACGAGUCGAGUAGUUUGGGAAUGCUGCUCAAAAUGGGAGGUAUAUCUCUUCUAAAGCUAAAUACCGGCCAGAGACCGAUAGCGCACAAGUAGAGUGAUCGAAAGAUGAAAAGCACCUUGAAAAGGGGGUUAAACAGCACGUGAAAUUGUUGAAAGGGAAGGGCCCAUGACCAGACUUGUGCCCGGCGGAUCACCCAGCGUUCUCGCUGGGGCACUCCGCCGGGUCCAGGCCAGCAUCGGUUCUCGCCGGGGGAUAAAGGCUCUGGGAACGUAGCUCCUCCGGGAGUGUUAUAGCCCUCUGCGUAAUACCCUGGCGGGGACCGAGGUACGCGCUCCGCAAGGAUGCUGGCGUAAUGGUCAUCAGCCACCCGUCUUGAAACACGGAUCAAGGAGUCGUCCAUUAGAGCGAGCGUUUGGGUGUCAAACCCGCACGCGUAAUGAAAGUGAACGUAGGUGAGAGCUUCGGCGCAUCAUCGACCGAUCCUGAUGUCCUCGGAUGGAUUUGAGUAUGAGUUUUACUGGACGGACCCGAAAGAUGGUGAACUAUGCCUGUAUAGGGUGAAGCCAGAGGAAACUCUGGUGGAGGCUCGCAGCGGUUCUGACGUGCAAAUCGAUCGUCAAAUAUGGGCAUGGGGGGCGAAAGACUAAUCGAACCAUCUAGUAGCUGGGUUACUGCCGAAG